AUACUGCAGUCGAGCGGACAGAUGGGAGCUUGCUCCCUGAUGUUAGCGGCGGACGGGUGAGUAACACGUGGGUAACCUGCCUGUAAGACUGGGAUAACUCCGGGAAACCGGGGCUAAUACCGGAUGGUUGUUUGAACCGCAUGGUUCAAACAUAAAAGGUGGCUUCGGCUACCACUUACAGAUGGACCCGCGGCGCAUUAGCUAGUUGGUGAGGUAACGGCUCACCAAGGCAACGAUGCGUAGCCGACCUGAGAGGGUGAUCGGCCACACUGGGACUGAGACACGGCCCAGACUCCUACGGGAGGCAGCAGUAGGGAAUCUUCCGCAAUGGACGAAAGUCUGACGGAGCAACGCCGCGUGAGUGAUGAAGGUUUUCGGAUCGUAAAGCUCUGUUGUUAGGGAAGAACAAGUACCGUUCGAAUAGGGCGGUACCUUGACGGUACCUAACCAGAAAGCCACGGCUAACUACGUGCCAGCAGCCGCGGUAAUACGUAGGUGGCAAGCGUUGUCCGGAAUUAUUGGGCGUAAAGGGCUCGCAGGCGGUUUCUUAAGUCUGAUGUGAAAGCCCCCGGCUCAACCGGGGAGGGUCAUUGGAAACUGGGGAACUUGAGUGCAGAAGAGGAGAGUGGAAUUCCACGUGUAGCGGUGAAAUGCGUAGAGAUGUGGAGGAACACCAGUGGCGAAGGCGACUCUCUGGUCUGUAACUGACGCUGAGGAGCGAAAGCGUGGGGAGCGAACAGGAUUAGAUACCCUGGUAGUCCACGCCGUAAACGAUGAGUGCUAAGUGUUAGGGGGUUUCCGCCCCUUAGUGCUGCAGCUAACGCAUUAAGCACUCCGCCUGGGGAGUACGGUCGCAAGACUGAAACUCAAAGGAAUUGACGGGGGCCCGCACAAGCGGUGGAGCAUGUGGUUUAAUUCGAAGCAACGCGAAGAACCUUACCAGGUCUUGACAUCCUCUGACAAUCCUAGAGAUAGGACGUCCCCUUCGGGGGCAGAGUGACAGGUGGUGCAUGGUUGUCGUCAGCUCGUGUCGUGAGAUGUUGGGUUAAGUCCCGCAACGAGCGCAACCCUUGAUCUUAGUUGCCAGCAUUCAGUUGGGCACUCUAAGGUGACUGCCGGUGACAAACCGGAGGAAGGUGGGGAUGACGUCAAAUCAUCAUGCCCCUUAUGACCUGGGCUACACACGUGCUACAAUGGACAGAACAAAGGGCAGCGAAACCGCGAGGUUAAGCCAAUCCCACAAAUCUGUUCUCAGUUCGGAUCGCAGUCUGCAACUCGACUGCGUGAAAUCUGGGAUCGCUAGUAAUCGCGGAUUCGCCAUGCCCCGGUUGAGUACGUUUCCCGGGACCUUGUAC
Molecule: ribosomal RNA, 1355 nt
Filed under: Bacillus sp. (in: firmicutes)
Lineage: Bacteria; Bacillati; Bacillota; Bacilli; Caryophanales; Bacillaceae
Description: bacterial SSU rRNA
Rfam family: Bacterial small subunit ribosomal RNA
Source: RNAcentral